GAUGAACGCUGGCGGCGUGCCUAAUACAUGCAAGUCGAGCGAACAGACGAGGAGCUUGCUCCUCUGACGUUAGCGGCGGACGGGUGAGUAGCACUUGGAUAACCUACCUAUAAGACUGGGAUAACUUCGGGAAACCGGAGCUAAUACCGGAUAAUAUAUUGAACCGCAUGGUUCAAUAGUGAAAGACGGUUUUGCUGUCACUUAUAGAUGGAUCCGCGCCGCAUUAGCUAGUUGGUAAGGUAACGGCUUACCAAGGCAACGAUGCGUAGCCGACCUGAGAGGGUGAUCGGCCACACUGGAACUGAGACACGGUCCAGACUCCUACGGGAGGCAGCAGUAGGGAAUCUGCCGCAAUGGGCGAAAGCCUGACGGAGCAACGCCGCGUGAGUGAUGAAGGUCUUCGGAUCGUAAAACGCUGUUAUUAGGGAAGAACAAAUGUGUAAGUAACUAUGCACGUCUUGACGGUACCUAAUCAGAAAGCCACGGCUAACUACGU
Molecule: ribosomal RNA, 496 nt
Filed under: uncultured bacterium
Lineage: Bacteria
Description: partial 16S ribosomal RNA
Rfam family: Bacterial small subunit ribosomal RNA
Source: RNAcentral